This is a long non-coding RNA of Brassica oleracea var. oleracea, 1163 nucleotides long. RefSeq lists it as uncharacterized. The transcript is spliced from 4 exons. The record is from RefSeq and is a predicted model, not a curated record. Lineage: Eukaryota; Viridiplantae; Streptophyta; Magnoliopsida; Brassicales; Brassicaceae.
CAAUGUGGGGUUCACGUGUGUAUCAUCGUUUUCUGUUUAUGUCUUCACGGGCUUUGCAUUUUGGCUGGAAAAUCGUCUAGGGUUGCGUACCUCAUCUUCCAGAUUCUUCGUCGACUGAGACGCUCCCAAUUCCUAACUCCUAAGUUUCGUUUUUCAAACUCGAUCUCUUCGACUCCUCCACGUUCACUACCGAUUUCGCGAUAUGUCUUCCUGUAACGGAUUCUCUAGCCUAAUUUAUAUAGAGUUCCUUGAAGGAGUUGGUCGAUCGAUAUGAUUUCUACCCGAACUAAAUUUUCGUCGUUGACUGAGGAUGGUCCGGUCGUGUUAAUGCAACUGGAAUGAACGGAAGGAUGAAGAGAACUGAUUCCAUUGAACAAUGAGUUAGAGGCGGGAGAUACAGACACAGGAAGAGGCAACUCUUCCUGUGAGACGCCUUCCAAUUGGCAGCCAAAACCCAGAAAGAGGUGUUGUGAGAUGGCCCAGCUGGAUUAGGAAGAAUGUCUAGCAGCCGCAGCUAAAGUCGUUGUUGCUUAGAUUUAUGCAAGAAUCUUUUUCCGGGAGAGGUGUUUACGUUUGGGUAAGAGGUUAGAGGCUUCUACGAGUGUAGGACAGGAGUCAGAAGACAAGGUGAUGGUUACUAACUAAUCCCACGACUAGGAAAAAGUAUAAGCAUAAGGCGAUCGGUCAUGCCGGACAUGUUAUUGAUCCUGGCCGUAUGCGAGGAAGAUGAAUCAUUCUAUAUCUAUCAGUAGCUUAACUCUCUUCACAUCCAAUACAAUGUGUUUACAGUUCUCUUUAUCUUGACUUUGUUGUUGUUGGUUGUUUAUCUAAUGAAUAAGAAAUCCAAAGUCAUGUAAAAAUUAAGUUCCAACAAAUGAUUACCGAGAUUGUAUGUUAUAGUUACUAAUAUGUGAAUAUGGUGAAUUCUAUGAAUGUUAUAAUCAUACGAAAGCAUUCAGCCCGAACUUCAUUGCCACACCCGAGGAGCUCAACACCGCAUGUAGCAAGUGUUUUCACUUCUUUUGGUGUCUGAGUUCAUUGAGAUGAUCAUGGGUCUCAACACAGUCGGCCCCCGUUGAGGAGUUCAUGUUAUUUUUAUUUCCAGUUUUUAAUGUUUUUAUUUUCCCUAAUAGUUGUGUUAUCGACUUUCUUCUCGAAAGUGA